Molecule: RNase P RNA, 305 nt
Filed under: Bdellovibrionales bacterium
Lineage: Bacteria; Pseudomonadati; Bdellovibrionota; Bdellovibrionia; Bdellovibrionales
Description: RNase P RNA component class A
Rfam family: Bacterial RNase P class A
About the family: Ribonuclease P (RNase P) is a ubiquitous endoribonuclease, found in archaea, bacteria and eukarya as well as chloroplasts and mitochondria. Its best characterised activity is the generation of mature 5'-ends of tRNAs by cleaving the 5'-leader elements of precursor-tRNAs.
Source: RNAcentral
CGAGAUCAGGGAACUAUCGCCGGCAGCAAUGCGGGAGGAAAGUCCGGACACCAUAGAGCAUCGUAGCGGGUAAUGCCCGUCCGUCGUGAGGCGAGGACAAGUGCAACAGAAAGUAUGUAUGGCUUAAAGGGAAACUUUUAGGUGCGUAGUGAAACCAGGUAAACUCUACGAGGUGCAAGUCCAUGUAGGUGAGCGUUGAGUCUGCUCGAGGAGCUCACGGGUAGGAUGCUUGAGCCAUGGGGUAACUCAUGGCCUAGAGGAAUGAUAGUUGAAUACAGAAUCCGGCUUAUUCCUGAUCUCGGUUU